Long non-coding RNA from Lates calcarifer (barramundi perch), 1733 nucleotides. RefSeq lists it as uncharacterized. The transcript is spliced from 3 exons. NCBI's taxonomy places the organism in Eukaryota, Metazoa, Chordata, Actinopteri, Centropomidae. The record is from RefSeq and is a predicted model, not a curated record.
UCAUCACAUAUCAUUUAAGGUGACACUAAAGCAAAACUCUGAAAAAGUUAGUCCUUUAAGAUAACUGCUGCCAGCAUUUAUUAAUCUAUAAAAAGUGUUGGACUCAGUGGUGACAGCUGAAUACUCUCCAGAGUCAACCCACUGGUGAGGGUUGUGGACCAAAUCCCAUGUGGAACCACGACAACUGACAAACUCCUUCCUUCCCUCCUACACAACGCCUUAACAGGAAACAGCAGGACGGUCCUCAUCUACUGUGUUAACCCUCAGGGUAAGAGGUCCUCUGUGCCCAACCACACUAUCGGCAUGGGUGGUGAACUGAUGUACAGCUGACUCUCCUCCUUACUCAUCAGGUCUUGUUGAUGAUGAAACCCCUUCUGCCUUGGAUUUGGCCCAGAAAAUGAGAAGUGCGGCAACUAAAGCCACUGUCAGUCGUUGGUAUCCAAGGGCAACCGAACAAGAGAUCCGAGAAAAGAUCAUGCAUCUCCAAAACGUAAUGAUGUCACAGGGGGAAAGUGACAUUCACAGCAUGUACAAGCUGGCAGAGCUGACUCAAAACCUGCAGGUAACUCUUUAAAUCUUCCUCACCACAACCUGUAGAGACUGAGUUCAUAACUGAAAUACAGCCUGUGAUCUCUCUGACAGAUUGUGAAAAAUCAGUCAUGGGAGAAGAGGAGGGAGGAGUCAAAGAAGAUAAAAGGCAAAACACAGGUUUCUACCCAAAAAUACAAGUUUAGCAAGAUGAUAACAAAUAACACAUGCUCCUGGUGUAAUAUAAUAAGCGCUAUUUUUUGCUCUGAUUCAGCAGAGUUGUCGGACCCCAAACAGCAAUUUUCCCAGCUGCGAUAAUGGUGAGAGCACUGACGCAAUGAAAUAUUUACAAGACCGGCUGAAACAAGAAAUGGAAGAACAUAUCAGAGGUAAUAAGCUGUGAUAUGAGCAAUUCGUCAUCUUAGGGAUAACAGUGAUAUUGAAUGCUUUUCUCAUAUCCACAGAGGGUAAAGGGAAUGUGGAGAAAGUCCAGGAGAGAGUAGCGAGAAUCCAGCAGCUGAAGGAGGCUCUGAGAGAGGAGACACUGAAGAACGGGGCUGUUGUGGAGAAAUCCGACCUCUGUCAACAAUCUCAGUUGGAAUACAAUAAAGCAAAGGAGCGGAGGAGGCAACUUAAGGAGGAUCAUGGGAGAUUAAUUCAAGAGGAGGUGGAGAAGAUGGAGAGAGACUUGGCACAGGAGCAGCUAGCGGUGAGAUAAUGAGAUACACUUGUUUAACAUUAUACAGUUUGUGAUCUAUCUUAGCUAAGGAUGCUGAGUCGGUUUAAAUUAAUGCAAGGCUGGAUUUAUGGUGGGCAGAGGAAACCACUGCAUUUGCAACUUAAUUCUGUUAUUUCCUUGCAUUUUUUAUGGUUUCAUCCAUUCCUCCACUAGACAGAAGGCCCCCAGAGGGAGCUGACGGUGCUGACCAGAGAGAGGCAGGUCCUGGUGCUGCAGAUAGAGGCCUUGCGCACUGAGGCCCUGCAGACUGAGAGAGACCUGCAGGAUCAAUAUCACAGACACCAAGCGGAGCUGCAUUGUCUGAGGGAGGAGAGCCUGCAGGUGUUCAGAGUGUUUCGUCAGGUAAGUGAGGAGCAGAGGAAGAUGUCAGAGGGCAGAUACAGGAGUGUGUUGCUGGAGGCUGUGCAGGAUGCUGUCUACCUCUCUGCCCAGAACCAGCAGCUACAGGCUGACAACAAACAGCUCC